AUUGAACGCUGGCGGCAUGCCUUACACAUGCAAGUCGAACGGCAGCACGGGUGCUUGCACCUGGCGGCGAGUGGCGAACGGGUGAGUAAUACAUCGGAACGUACCUUAUCGUGGGGGAUAACGCAGCGAAAGUUGCGCUAAUACCGCAUACGCCCUGAGGGGGAAAGCGGGGGACCGUAAGGCCUCGCGCGAUUAGAGCGGCCGAUGUCUGAUUAGCUUGUUGGUGAGGUAAAAGCUCACCAAGGCGAUGAUCAGUAGCUGGUCUGAGAGGACGAUCAGCCACACUGGGACUGAGACACGGCCCAGACUCCUACGGGAGGCAGCAGUGGGGAAUUUUGGACAAUGGGGGCAACCCUGAUCCAGCAAUGCCGCGUGAGUGAAGAAGGCCUUCGGGUUGUAAAGCUCUUUUGUCAGGGAAGAAACAGCAGCUCUAACACAGUCUGCGAAUGACGGUACCUGAAGAAUAAGCACCGGCUAACUACGUGCCAGCAGCCGCGGUAA
Molecule: ribosomal RNA, 501 nt
Filed under: uncultured bacterium
Lineage: Bacteria
Description: partial 16S ribosomal RNA
Rfam family: Bacterial small subunit ribosomal RNA
Source: RNAcentral